Molecule: unclassified non-coding RNA, 512 nt
Filed under: Hevea brasiliensis (rubber tree)
Lineage: Eukaryota; Viridiplantae; Streptophyta; Magnoliopsida; Malpighiales; Euphorbiaceae
Source: RNAcentral
UUCGAAUCACUAGGAUGGGAAAUCGAAUCAAAUCAUAAGAUUCGAAUAACAGUGCUCUCUCGUAUGUUAUGGUUGUCUGCUAUUUGGUAUAAUCACGUUUUUUGUGAAAUUGUGAUGGUAAUAAUUGCCCUAUUAUACAGUACACUUGAUUUAGUACUCGGAAUCUGAAGUUGUAAUGGUGGGACAAGUAAAAUGCUAAAUGGGGCAAUUAAGGUAGGGUGGAAGGUUGAGAGACUGACUGAGGGGCAACCUUGGCCGCUCCUUCCCAACUUUUUGUUUGGAAUUUGAGAGAGAGAGAGAAGGUGAAUAAAUUAAUGGAUUAUUACAAUAAUUCUAGAAUGUUACAGUGAGUAUUUGAAAUGUUGUUUGGAUGGUUAGUGUAAAAUGUUCUGAUCCUCUUGGUUGUGGAUUUUUAUAAGUAUUCAUUGAUUUUGGUUUUCUUUCGAAUGCUAGAACAUCCAUUAACCUCUUGAGUCACUUUAUUUGGUAGGAUGAUCAAUUUAUUGACAUGU